ACCCGCUGAAUUUAAGCAUAUAAGUAAGUGGUGGAAAUUAAACCAAAUGGGAUAUCUUUAGUAAUUGCGAAUGAACAAGGAUAUGCUUAGCUUGACAAAUGGAGCUAUUGGCUUUGAAUUGUAUUGCGGAAAUGUAUUACCAACAGAGGUGCAGGUGCCAGCCUAUUGAAAUAAAGCGUCAAUGAGGGUGAGAAUCCUGUUUGUCAUGUGCAGCCCUUUGUGCACGGUGUAUAUUUGCUGAGUCACACUCCUUGGCAUUGGAAUGCAAAGUGGGUGGUAAGUUUCAUGUAAAGGUAAACAUGCAAUUGAGACUGAUAGCUCACAAGUACCAUGAGGGAAAUAUGAAAAGGACUUUGAAAAGAGAAUUAAAUGAGUUUGUAUUUGCUGAACACAAAGUAAACAGACUUGAUUUGCUUGGUGGGAGUGUUGCACUUGCUUGACAAGAGCUUUGGGCUGUGGGUGUAAUGAUUCUUUCUUUGCAUGCCAGUUUCUAUUUGUACAUCUGAUUACCUUUGCACAUGAAUGAUAAGUCUCCUGUGGGGGGUGGAUUGCAUGUGCAUGUAAUGAUUUGUGUUUUGAUAAAUGUGUCUGGUGUAUGUGUGUGUUCCUGUGCUUGGGGAUGCUUCCUUCCUUGGACUUACAAGCCCUGACACACACAUGCUGGCAAAAUGCUUCUGCUUGACCCGUCUUGAAACACGGACCAAGG
Molecule: ribosomal RNA, 706 nt
Filed under: Alexandrium tamarense
Lineage: Eukaryota; Dinophyceae; Gonyaulacales; Pyrocystaceae
Description: LSU rRNA
Rfam family: Eukaryotic large subunit ribosomal RNA
Source: RNAcentral